AUGCAAGUCGAACGGUUAGAAGUUAGAACUGAGGUGCUAGAGAGAUCUAGGAUCUGAGUUCUAACUUCUGAUAGUGGCGGACGGGUGAGUAACACGUGAGCAACCUACCUUACAGUGUGGAAUAACGGAUCGAAAGGUCUGCUAAUACCGCAUGAAAUAUUGAAUCCGCAUGGAUUUAGUAUCAAAGAUUUAUCGCUGUAAGAUGGGCUCGCGCCCGAUUAGGUAGUUGGUGAGGUAAUGGCCCACCAAGCCUGCGAUCGGUAGCCGGACUGAGAGGUUGGACGGCCACAUUGGGACUGAGACACGGCCCAGACUCCUACGGGAGGCAGCAGUGGGGGAUAUUGCACAAUGGGCGAAAGCCUGAUGCAGCGACGCCGCGUGAGGGAAGACGGUCUUCGGAUUGUAAACCUCUGUCUUCGGGGACGAUAAUGACGGUACCCGAGGAGGAAGCCACGGCUAACUACGUGCCAGCAGCCGCGGUAAUACGUAGGUGGCGAGCGUUGUCCGGAAUUACUGGGUGUAAAGGGAGCGUAGGCGGGAAGAUAAGUCAAGUGUAAAAUGUAUCGGCUCAACCGGUACCCGCGCUUGAAACUAUUUUUCUUGAGUGAAGUAGAGGUAAGUGGAAUUCCUAGUGUAGCGGUGGAAUGCGUAGAUAUUA
Molecule: ribosomal RNA, 658 nt
Filed under: uncultured Eubacteriales bacterium
Lineage: Bacteria; Bacillati; Bacillota; Clostridia; Eubacteriales
Description: bacterial SSU rRNA
Rfam family: Bacterial small subunit ribosomal RNA
Source: RNAcentral